CAAGCGGUGGAGCAUGUGGUUUAAUUCGAUGCAACGCGAAGAACCUUACCUACUCUUGACAUCCACGGAAUUUGGCAGAGAUGCCUUGGUGCCUUCGGGAACCGUGAGACAGGUGCUGCAUGGCUGUCGUCAGCUCGUGUUGUGAAAUGUUGGGUUAAGUCCCGCAACGAGCGCAACCCUUAUCCUUUGUUGCCAGCGAUACGGUCGGGGACUCAAAGGAGACUGCCGGUGAUAAACCGGAGGAAGGUGGGGAUGACGUCAAGUCAUCAUGGCCCUUACGAGUAGGGCUACACACGUGCUACAAUGGCGCAUACAAAGAGAAGCGACCUCGCGAGAGCAAGCGGACCUCAGAAAGUGCGUCGUAGUCCGGAUCGGAGUCUGCAACUCGACUCCGUGAAGUCGGAAUCGCUAGUAAUCGUGGAUCAGAAUGCCACGGUGAAUACGUUCCCGGGCCUUGUACACACC
RNAcentral lists this ribosomal RNA (465 nucleotides) under uncultured bacterium. Its description in RNAcentral is "bacterial SSU rRNA". It matches the Rfam family "Bacterial small subunit ribosomal RNA", at positions 926 to 1391 of the family's 1533-position model. The record is from RNAcentral.